UAGAGAAAGGGGUUAGAGAAUUGUUUGGACUUUGAAUAAUUUCCAAGUUUUCCUGUUGGUCAUGUUACUCUGGAACACAGGAUUAACAUCUGGGUCAUCAAAAAAGAAAGAAAAAACAUAGCAAGUUAUGAACCUUGUAUACCAUGGGGCCUUGCAUAAAUAUGAAUUUCCACUCUAACAAAGGUUGAGAGAAUCUGUUUGAAUUUGUCAUAUUGUCAAUAAAGCAUUAUAUGUGGGUUAUUUCUGGAAAACAACAGGAUUUUUGAAAGUAACCAAUUAAUGCAAUUGCCUUAUAUUAAUGUGUGUGAGGAAAAAUCAGACUGAUAGU
This 328-nucleotide long non-coding RNA is filed under the name Bos taurus (domestic cattle). RNAcentral's name for it is "long non-coding RNA NONBTAT017355". The record is from RNAcentral. Lineage: Eukaryota; Metazoa; Chordata; Mammalia; Artiodactyla; Bovidae.